Bactrocera tryoni is the source of this 692-nucleotide long non-coding RNA. RefSeq lists it as uncharacterized. Lineage: Eukaryota; Metazoa; Arthropoda; Insecta; Diptera; Tephritidae. The transcript has 2 exons. The record is from RefSeq and is a predicted model, not a curated record.
GAUGAUUUAUUUGAUGCUGUACCGUAUCGCUGAAGCUAAACCACUUUGUUGCCUCUACAACUGCAGUCAAAUUGGGAUCUGGCAUUUUCUGAUAUUAUUACCGUUCGUAAUCACCGCCGCCAUGCACCACUUCCAACACGUUUCUAACGCGUGUACUAGUCGACAUAUCUGUCAUAGUGAUUUCAACAUCCUCCGUAUUAUCAUUGAGUUUGGAUUUCUCCAACUGCUUGCGAGGACGUUGUAUCUAAAAAUUAAAAACAAAAAACAAAUAUAUACAUAUAUACAAUGCAGUUUCUUAUUCUAAUAAAAAAAAACGUAUUUUAACAAGUACCCUAAAGACUGCACCCCAAACAUCGAAGAGGCCUUGUUGACGAUCCUUUUGCCCCAAAUUGGCGUUAAGUACAUCUUGCAGUGUCAACGCUUUUUUCUGAGCACUGGCAAUAAAUUAAAAAUAACAAAUAUUAACACGUGCAUACGAAAAACAAACAAUUUUAUAUUAUUUACUUGAAAAACUGCAACGUUGAAAUGCAGCAACGAACAUCAUUCCCUGACUUCUCCGACAUGGCAUACAAUGCACUAAAAUCAGUUUUUAAACGUUCUCUUUGCGAUAUCUGAAGUAACCUAAGAAAACCAAAAUAUUUGUAGUUAAUACGUUUCACAUUACUAAUUAAAAGUGUUUACCUUUCUGUUAA